Molecule: ribosomal RNA, 253 nt
Filed under: uncultured bacterium
Lineage: Bacteria
Description: partial 16S ribosomal RNA
Rfam family: Bacterial small subunit ribosomal RNA
Source: RNAcentral
UACGUAGGGUGCAAGCGUUGUCCGGAAUUAUUGGGCGUAAAGAGCUCGUAGGCGGUUUGUUGCGUCGGCUGUGAAAUCCCGAGGCUCAACCUCGGGUCUGCAGUCGAUACGAGCAAACUAGAGUGUUGCAGGGGAGACUGGAAUUCCUGGUGUAGCGGUGAAAUGCGCAGAUAUCAGGAGGAACACCGGUGGCGAAGGCGGCAUCCUGGACCAACACUGACGCUGAGGAGCGAAAGCCAGGGGAGCAAACAGG